UAAAAUUGAAGGUGCUAAAUGACCACUUUUACAGUCUACCAGUUUACUAGUACCUAGCCAUCAGUCUCUGUCACAACAAUGGAGUCCAAAUUCCUCUCUUCAAUUGCUCCGGCGCCGUUGCCGACACUUUCUACCUUUCCGUCUUCCUCCGACGUAACCACGGACCGGACUAUUCAAAGUCCGUCUGCGAAAUAUCCGGCGCCGCCAACAUCACCUUCGACGCCGUUAUCCGCUCAAGAUAUAUGGCGAUCGCCGACACUUUCUACCUUUCCGGCUUCCUCCGACGUAGCCACGGACCGGACUAUUCAAAGUCCGGCUGCGAAAUAUCCGGCGCCGCCAACAACACCUUCGACGCCGUUAUCCGCUCAAGAUAUACGGCGAUGGAGACCGGCGGCGCAACGAAACCUGAGAAACCAAUGGUCUAAGUUGGCUGCUCUGCGGACGCAAUGGUUUUCCUUAUCCUCCACUGCUCGAUCAUAUGCCACUUCUGUAGUCAAUUCACAUCUCUCCCAAAGGUAAACUUCAACCCAUAGUGGUCUAAAUUGGCUGAUCUGCGGACGCAAUGGUUUUCCUUAUCCUCUACUGCUCGAUCAUAUGCCACUUCUGUAGUCAAUUCACAUCUCUCCCAAAGGUAAACUUCAAGCACGCGUUUGAAUAAAAUUACAAGUCAGGAACUUGCUUAAAGAUACUGUAAAAUCAUUAUUUUUAUAGUUAAAAAAGCAUUACAACAACGUAUGAAUAAAAAAAUGACUCCAAAUAUAAUUGUGUCAGCGCCCAAGGGUGUGGUUAGUGGUCUGGGAGGAGAAUCAUGAAUUCUCAGCAGAGUAGUCAAAAGAGAAAAGAAUAAAGAAGCACCAAAGUUUUUUGAGCAUUGGUAAGAAAAGCACCAAUGAAGUAAUGCGAGAAAAUAUAACUACAAUACGCAAACAAAAGAACGGAAAAACUAGAAGUAAGCUAUAUACAUAUAUGUUGUCGUGCCAUGAAAGACAGAUCCCAUCAGUGAAAGUGAUCACGCCUUAACACCGAGCUUUAGGGCUUAAGCACUUUAAGCAAGCCUCUGGUUCAAAUCCCAAUGGAGCGGAGGCAAUAAAAUACUAGGUGAUUUUUUCCCAUCUGCCUAAGCCUUGGUGGGCAGAGUUAACUCGUUUUAGCUGGUGGGAGGUAGCAUGUACCUGAUGGAAUAAUUUAGGUGCCCACAAGUUGGCUUGAAUACUACCAUCAUAAAAAAAGUAAUUGUCUCAUUCUUUCUGAGACGAGGCAAUAGUAUUGAAGAGGGUAUGUGGAUUUGUAUUGUGGUUAAUGUGAUUUCUGUUAAGCAAAAUGGAUCCUGGACCUAACUUAGCAUAGCCUACAACCCAUACCCUCAGCUGGUGCAGGACUCUAACAAUUUAUAAUGUUGACUUGUCAGUGAUUCUGAAUUACAUCCUUUGGAGAUUUGGUGCAGGUAUAUGGAUGCAAUGGACUUGGGUGUUUUAACAGAUAUGCCUGAUAUACGUAAAAAGGCAUGUAGGAAAUUGUUCAAGCAGCAGGUGAUUAUAUUAAUUGCCUUUUUCCUUCAGUCUUUUGGCUUCAAUUUGAAUUGUCCUGGAAGCUGGCUGUUUGCACACUGCAUAAAGUUGAUUGAGAAGUCUUUUGGCUUCAAUUUGAAUUGUCCUAGAAGCUGGCUGUUUGCACACUGCAUAAAGUUGAUUGAGACAAUGUGUUUUGAUGUCCCUUGUUAUUUCCUCAUAUACAUGGAAAACCUAUUGAAUUUGAAGUACUGAGAAUAUAUUAGACCUUCCAAGCGACAACAUUCUUAAUAUUCGUGUUGCUAAAUUAAUUUUGUUGGAUUGCUCAUUGAGUCUGCUCGAGAUUGUACUGGAAAUAUUGUCUGAUUGCGUGUCAGAGGUUUUCCUCGUUAUUUAGUUGCUCAAGUAUGCUGAAAAGGAGUCUUUAAAGUAGAAUGGAAAACCCAUCUCUGUUUAUUGACAAAAUCAAACUGUACUCUGAGUAAUUUCUCACAGCUGUCUUUAUUUUUCAGGAGACUUAUAGGAAUAACCUCUUGUCAUCUUAUAAAGAUAUGGUAUGCACACUAUAUAUUUACUGGUCCGCUUCAUAAUGUGUCAAUGAUUAGCUUGCUACUCAAAGAUAUGGUAUGCACACUACAUAUUUACUGGUCCGCUUCAUAAUGUGUCAAUGAUUAGCUUGCUACUCUGAGUAAAGUUGGUAAACAUUUUUUCAUCAAAUAGAUGUAUUCUCUGUUGUGGUUUUCUUCUGUGUUGCUCGGAACCCGAACAUCGUUUUCUGUUAUUUACACAUCUAAACCUGUCGGUAUUUCCCAAAGUAAUGCUUAACAUCUUCUUUAAUAGUUCAGGCUUCUGCAAAUGUCUUAUAACUUCAUUAUUUUCAAAUGCUCCCUAUUUCAUUCGACCCUCUCCUAUGUUUGGAAGGGAAACAUCCCUAUUUUGAAAAACACAGGAAAAUAGACAUGUAUGCCUCAUGUACAAUUUGAAUGAUUGAUUAAGCACAAUCUUACUUCUAUAAUCCCCAAGUAUUUGAAAGGCCAGUAGUUGUGUUACGUAUUUCUACGUGAACGAAAUAUCUGCUGUUUAGAUAUCCUGGCACAAAUUCCUUUGAUGCUAAUUCUGGUAAAAGCAACAAACCGAUAUCUCUACUGGUCUUUUGAAGUGUUUACUGCAUUUGUCUUCCAUGCUUAUCUGUGCUUAUUUGACAUCCAGAAUUGCAUUUAUCUUGUUCUUGGAAUGUCCAACGUCCUUGAGAAUUGAGAUCACACUCUCAACCCAUAGUUGUAUGACUAUCCAUUUUUAGCCUUAUCUGACCAAAAAAGUUAUAUAACUAAUCUGACAAAGUUAUAUAAGUGAAUUUAUAGGGUCGAAAAGCUUUAGCUAUAAGAUAAAGUAUUUACUGUGAAGUGUUCAUGCGGGGUCAUUCUAGUACGGAAGCUAUCCACCUUAUCAGGAGGUUGGUGGAACAGUACAUGCAUAAGAAGAAGGAUUUGCACAUAGUGUUUAUUGACCUAGAGAAAGCGCAUGCCAAGGUUCUUAUAGAGGUUCAUUGGGGAUGCCUGGAGGUGAAAGGUGUGCUAAUAGCCUACAUUAGAGUGAUAAAGGACAUGUAUGAGGGAGUUAAUACUAGGGUUAGGACUGUGGGAGGUGACUUGGAGCACUUUUAGGUUGUUAUGGGAUUGCACCAAGGGUUUGCGCUCAGCUCGUUCUUAUUAGUCCUGGCGAUGGAUGCACUAGCAUACCAUAUUCAAGGGAAGGUGCUAUGGUGUAUUCACUGAUGAUAUAGUUCUAUUGAUGAGAUGCGGGGCGACGUUAACGAGAGGUCAGAAGUUUGGAGAGAGACCCUUGAGUCUAAAGGUUUCAAGUUGAGUAGGACUAAGACAGAAUAUUUGGAGUGUACGUUCAUCGAUGCGUCGGGAGAAGCAGACAUGAGCGUAAGGCUUGACUCACAAGUCAUCCCCAAGAGAGGAAGUUUCAAGUACUUUGGGUCAAUUAUCCAGGGAUAGGGAGAUAGGCGAGGAUGUCAUGCAUCGUAUAGCAGUGGGGUCGGUGAAAUGGAUGUUAGUAUCUGGAGUCCUGUGUGAUAAGAAAGUGUCAUCCGAACUUAAAGGCAAGUUCUAUAGAGCGGUGGUUAGACCGGCCAUGCUGUAUGGGGCUGAGUGUUGUGUAGCCAAGAAUUCUCAUAUUCAUAAGAUGAAAGUGGUAUAGAUGAGGAUGUUGAGAUGGAUGUGCAGCCACACUAGGCUGGAUAAUAUUAGGAAUGAAGAUAUCCGGGGAAGGUGGAGGUGGCUCCCAUGGACGACAAGAUGCUGCAGGUGAGGCUUAGAUGGUUCAGGCAUGUGCGGAGGAGAAACAUAGAUGCCCCGGUUAAGAGGCGUGAGUAGUUGACAGUGGCAGGUAUGAGAAGAAGUAGAGGGUGGUGUAAGAAGUAUUAGGGUGAGGUGAUCAGACAGGACAUGGUGCAACUUCAGAUCUCCGAGGACAUGGCUCUUGAUAGUAAGGUGUGGAGGUCGAGCAUAAGGAUUGUAGGUUAGGAGGGGGUCGAGCAUUUUUCCAUGUUUGUGCCGGGUUGGGGCUAGGCUAGUAAUGUUUCGCCUUAGGUCGUUAGUAGUUUAUGUAGUUUCCACACGGUUUAUGUAGUUUCCACACUAUUUUCUAUGGCAUUAUUACUGGUUAUUGUUAUUGUUUUUCCAUCUAUUUUCUGUUUCUUACGAUGCUGGCAACUUCAGACUCCGAGGACAUGGCUCUUGAUAGGAAGAUGUGGAGGUCGAGCAUAAGGAUUGUAGGUUAGGAGGGAGUCGAGCAUUUUUCCAUGUUUGUGUCGGGUUGGGGCUAGGCUGGUAAUGUUUCGCCUUGGGUCGUUAGUAGUUUAUGUAGUUUCCACACUAUUUUCUAUGGCAUUAUUACCGGUUGUUGUUAUUGUUUUUCCAUCUAUUUUCUGUUUCUUACGAUGCUGAUAUUAUUUUUCUAGAUUAUGUUGUUGUCACCGACCCAUUUCUAUUGUCUAUUUUUUAUUUUCUUCUUGUUAAGCCGAGGGUCUUUAGGAAAUAGCCUCUCUACCCUUCUGGGAUAGAGGUAAGGUCUGCAUAUACUCUACUCUCCCCAGUGGGAUUUUACUGGGUUGUUGUUAUUGUUGUUGUUGAAGUGUAUAUAUAUCGCUAGGUGUCAGUAUACAAAUUGCAAAAGUUUUGGUAUCUUGGGAAGCUGGGGUCUAGAGUACUUUUAGUCAAGGGUGCAAAAAUCUAGACUGAAUCAGGACAUUAUAGUUCUUAGUUGUUUGCGUGUCAUUCACUCAUUGAUAGAAACCAAUUGCCAAGUGAUUUAUCUCGAGACCUGGUUCUUGCUCUCUCCUUCAGUUAGCUCUUACUUAGGCAUGGAUCUUACUCCUUACAUGACUAUAUUGAAGCUUUGAUCGCUUAGGAGUCUGGUAUACUGGCAUUUUACUUUCUUAAUCCAGUGACUUCUAUGAAAUUGCCAUGCCUGUUUAUUGCCUGACUAUUUAGCUGUCUGUAGGUGGCUGUUGUAACUCAGAUGGUCAAUGUUUCCAAAUCUAUGAGGUGUUACCGCAAGGGAACAAAUGGCAGUGCACUUAUUGAGUUUUCUUUGUUCCCUGGAGAUCAGAAUGACACUGGUGAUAGUGAUGGAAUUCCUGUUUUCACCUUUUGGUCAAUCUUUGAUUUUGGUAUGACUUUAAAACCUUUGCAACUUGCAGACUGCCUCACUAUUAGGAAUUCCUGCAGAGAUUUGUCAAUGUUCUGUUAAAAGGUUAUCAUAUGGUAAUUCGUAGUCCCAGCGAAUCAAUGAAUGUUAAAUUUAUUGUCUGCUUAGUAGUAAAAGGGUAUCACAAAGCUUUCAUUAAACCUUUUGCUCUAGUGUACUACAAAUGAUAUUGGCCAGAGAUGAGUUCAAAAGGAAUAUCAUGGUCCAACAACAGAAGUAACGAUAUAAAACCUACUUAUCAAAAGAAAAGAAGUAAUCAUAUAAAACCUAAGCAAAUCUGGUUGUCAAUGUGGUAUAAGUUGCUAGCUCAAUUUUGAGUUUGAGUGGUCAGGAUUUUUUGUUUCUCCCCUUCCUGGUUGUAGGGUUUUGGUGAUCACAUGAUAGUCUCUUCUGCUCACCUUCAGAGAAUGAAGGUUGCGGAGAUGAGAAUGCUAAGGUGGAUGUGCGGGCUCACAGGUUAGAUAAGAUUAAGAAUUAAAUUAUUCGGGAAAAGGUGGGUGUGGCCCCAGUGGAUGAGAAGUUGCGAGAGGCGAGGCUCAGGUGGUUCGGGCAUGUGCGGAGGAGAAGCCCAGAUGCUGUGAGGAGUUGUGAGCGUUUGGAGGUGGUUGGCGCGAGUCGAGGUAGAGGGAGACCAAAGAAGUAUUGGAAAGAGGUGAUUAGGCAUGACAUGACUAGUAUGCGGAUUUCCGAGGACAUGGCCCUUGAUAGAAGAAUCUGGAGGACUAGUAUUAGGGUUGUAGGAUAGAGGCUUUUAGGUAGUGGUCGUUGUUAAUGCAUUCCAUUCUAUCUACCGAAUGUGGCUAAAUUAAUAUUUGUGGAUGCCCUUUUACUUGUACAUUGGCAUGUAUGAGAAGAAGNNNNNNNNNNNNNNNNNNNNNNNNNNNNNNNNNNNNNNNNNNNNNNNNNNNNNNNNNNNNNNNNNNNNNNNNNNNNNNNNNNNNNNNNNNNNNNNNNNNNNNNNNNNNNNNNNNNNNNNNNNNNNNNNNNNNNNUUUCUGUCUUUCCUUUUCUUUUUCUAAGCCGAGGGUCGAUUGGAAACAGCCUCUCCAUCCUUUCGGGUGGGGGUAAGGCCUGCGUACAUAUUACCCUCACCAUACCCCACCAUGUGGGAAUAUACUGGGUAGUUGUUGUUGUAUGAUAGUCUCUUCUGCCUGGCCAGACGAAAUUCCGCAGUCACCCUUAAUCUCCUUGGUUAACUAUAAAAUAUUGCUUUAGGAGUGGAUAAUCUACGCAUAGACUUGAGAUAUCGGGAAUGGAGAGUGUCCCAUUAAACAAUCAGUAGA
RNAcentral lists this long non-coding RNA (6507 nucleotides) under Nicotiana benthamiana. RNAcentral describes it as "long non-coding RNA (NBEN_LNC028012)". Lineage: Eukaryota; Viridiplantae; Streptophyta; Magnoliopsida; Solanales; Solanaceae. The record is from RNAcentral.